Molecule: ribosomal RNA, 253 nt
Filed under: uncultured bacterium
Lineage: Bacteria
Description: partial 16S ribosomal RNA
Rfam family: Bacterial small subunit ribosomal RNA
Source: RNAcentral
UACGUCGGGUGCGAGCGUUCAUCGGAAUUACUGGGCGUAAAGCGUGCGCAGGCGGUUUUGUAAGCCAGAUGUGAAAGCCCCGGGCUUAACCUGGGAAUGGCAUUUGGGACUGCAAGGCUUGAGUGCGGCAGAGGAGACUGGAAUUCCUGGUGUAGCAGUGAAAUGCGUAGAUAUCAGGAGGAAUACCGAUGGCGAAGGCAGGUCUCUGGGCUGACACUGACGCUCAUGCACGAAAGCGUGGGGAGCAAACAGG